UUCGUGGAGGUCCGAACCCACGAGCGUUGAAAAGCUCGGGGAUGACUUGUGGGUAGCGGUGAAAUUCCAAUCGAGCCCGGAGAUAGCUGGUUGUCCCCGAAAUAGCUUUAGGGCUAGCCUGAAGGUGGGAGAUACGGAGGUAGAGCACUGAAUGUCCUGGGGAGUAUUGCACCGACCGAAGACUAUCAAACUCCGAAUGCCGU
This 203-nucleotide ribosomal RNA is filed under the name Clostridioides difficile. Its description in RNAcentral is "partial 23S ribosomal RNA". It matches the Rfam family "Bacterial large subunit ribosomal RNA", at positions 763 to 966 of the family's 2925-position model. The record is from RNAcentral. Lineage: Bacteria; Bacillati; Bacillota; Clostridia; Peptostreptococcales; Peptostreptococcaceae.